AAGUAUUAGGAAGUUUAUUUAAACUAGUGCUAAGAUUUUUUUAUUAAUGGUUGAAACUUAAUAUUAUAGUUAGUAGUUGUUGGUAACAUAAAUGUAUAAUAAUGAUUGUAUGUUUCAUUCAUAAAUGUUUUGCGUUUUAAGCAUUUUAAUAAAUGUAUGUAUCAUUUAUAAAUGUUAUGUGUUUUAAUAAAUUUAUUUUCUAGGUCACAAGUAUAAAAGGUAAAGUGAUCGUAUCUAAUGUAGCAUAAUCUUUUAAAAUUAUAGUAAAUUUACCCAUAUAUUAAGUUUCGUGAGUUUCAAAUAUAUUUCGUAUCAUUCACAAUAUGGAUUUACAUGCACAUUUUUUAUGAAACUUACUUUUAAUUGGCAAAUAGUAUGUAAAUUAUUAUAAAAUAUCAUUUUAUAAUAAUCAUAAUUUUUAUAGGUGAAUGGUAUUUUAGCUGCUAAAAUUGUCAAUUUAUAAAUGAUCAAAUCUUACUACUUUAUGAUGAUUGGUUUACAUGCAGCAAUGAUUGUGGUGUAUACGUUAUUAACUUCAUGAAGUCAUCUGAAGUGGAACAAAUGAGUUCAAUCAUGUUUCACUCCGAGACUGAACGUUUUAACAUUGCAAUGGAAUUGGUCCCUACACCCUAAGAAUGCAUGGGGAUUUCUUCUAGAAGAUCAUUUGCAGAGAAGAUGAACAAUGAAAGUAUUCAUAGUUGAAAAAAAAAAUUCUAAUUUAUCUUUGCUAUUUCUAGCUGAAUAACAAGUACCUAGUAAGGCAGAAGAACGUUUCAAGUCUUGUUGCCACUUUAUUUUAUGGGCCCUUAAUUUUGACGUGUACACAAACUUGCCAUGGACUGCAGUCAAAGCACUACUGCUUGGUUCUAAGCUC
Coffea arabica (coffee) is the source of this 874-nucleotide long non-coding RNA. RefSeq lists it as uncharacterized. The record is from RefSeq and is a predicted model, not a curated record. NCBI's taxonomy places the organism in Eukaryota, Viridiplantae, Streptophyta, Magnoliopsida, Gentianales, Rubiaceae.